CAGGGCAAUCACCAAUGGCUUCCAAAUUCACCCUCAUCUACAAAAACUUGCUGCUCGUCUUCUCCUUGUUUUUUGUCUCUCACUCUUUAACAAACGAUACACUUAACCCCGGUGACAUCUUCAAUUCCACCCAUCGCCUUAUUUCCAGAAACGGGCUCUUCACAUUAGGAUUCUCCGGCCGCUACUUGGUCAUAAAUUACACUGACCAAAGUAACUCACCAAAACACCCUGUCUGGUUAGCUAACAGAAACACACCUAUCCUGGAAAAUACAGGACUUCUCACCAUUGAUAAUGGAACUGGGAGCUUGACAAUUGUACAUGAAGGUAGAAAGCCGGUUGAAUUAUACUCCGGUUACAAUAACUCCAGCAGAAACGUAACUGCCAAAUUACAUGAUAAUGGAAAUUUUGUGUUGGCCGAAGCAAACUCUGGUGGGCAGAUAUUGUGGCAAAGCUUCGAUUAUCCCACGGACACCCUUUUGCCUGGUAUGAAAUUGGGCAUCAACCACAAGACAGGAAGGAACUGGUCACUUACCUCGUGGCUAGCUGAAGAUAUCCCAACUCCUGGAGGUUUCACUCUUGAAUGGGACCCCAAGGAACGCCAGGUGAUCGUGAGGCGCCGAGGAGUUGUAUUUUGGACUAGCGGGGUGUUGACUCCUGAUAAUAGAUUUGAAAAUUUCCUUUCUUUGGAUUCGUUCAAUCAAAACUAUAACUUCACCAGUUUUUCAAACCCGGAUGAAGAGUACCUUCUCUACACGCUCUACGUCGAUGAAUGGACACCUGAAUACCGAAGGAACAUUUCCGAGUGGUUUCUAGAUUAUCAGGGGAACAUACAAGAUGGAGGAUGGAGGCCUUUCACUUUGUUUUCUGAGGCUUGUGAUGGGAAUAGCACAGAAUCUGGCUGCAGGAAAUGGGAAGGACCAAAGUGCAGGAUAGAUGGGGAUAAAUUUGCUGUAAGAGCUGGUAGCUUCAGGGAGCCUCAGCCUAGACGCUCUGAUAACAAUACCAGCUUCAUUGACUGCCAAGACUUAUGCUGGAACAAUUGUUCUUGUACUGGAUUCAAGCAUUCGGGCACCUACUGCGCAUUGUUUAGUGGAUCUUUCUAUAACACAGAUUUGAGAGGAGGUGAAUUAAGCUAUUUUAUAAUUAUUCCGGGUCCUCCGCAUAAAUCGGAUAAGACAUGGAUAUGGAUCGUAAUUGCUAUAAUGCUUGCAAUAAUCGCUAUGUUAAUGAGCAUGUUUCUGUACUUCAGGUGGAGAAGAAUUAGACUGGAAGGUAUUAAUAUUAUUCCCCAAACAAGUAAAAUCCAGACGAAAAUUUUCAAGAUCACUAUUUACUAUUUGCACUUAAUUGAAUGUUAUUUUGUAUUUCUUUGAUGACACGAAUUGCAACAGAGAAAUUUCUCAAGGAGCUGAUGACAUACGAUAGAGUAAGGGAUGUAGAUGAGCUUGAAAAUGGUGGAAACAGGGGAAACAAUUUAUGCAUAUAUAGUGUUGCAACAAUCAAGGCUGCUACCAAUGGCUUUUCAUUCGACAACAAACUGGGACAAGGUGGUUUUGGACCUGUUUACAAGGUAAAACUUAGACUAAUCAUUAGAUGUUAUAUUCUGCUAAACAUAAGCAAUAAAUUGUAUGGUUCAUGAAUGCUUAGGGGAGAUUAACUGAGGGACAGGAAAUAGCAGUAAAGAGACUGUCAAAUAGAUCAGGACAAGGGCUAGAAGAGUUCAAAAAUGAGCUUAUUCUCAUAGCUAAACUGCAACACAUGAAUCUUGUGCGGCUCCUGGGUUUCUGCAUCCAAGGGGAAGAGAAAAUGUUGGUCUACGAGUACAUGCCAAAUAAAAGCUUGGACUUUUUCAUCUUUGGUGGUCGGUAUUUCCCCUCUAUCGUUUAAGUUUAUGUAUCAAUUAGCAAGUUUAUACCUAUUUUCUUCAAGAUAUAUAAUGUCACUGGUGUUUCCAUUAACAGAUGAAUCAAGAAGGAAAGUAUUAGAUUGGAACAAGCGGUUUAACAUCAUUGAAGGAAUAGCUCAAGGUCUACUUUACCUCCAUAAGUAUUCCAGGCUGAGAAUAAUCCAUAGAGAUUUGAAAGCUAGUAAUAUUUUACUUGACGAGGAAAUGAACCCAAAAAUUUCUGAUUUCGGCAUGGCAAGAAUUUUCAAGGCCAAUGAAUCUGAAGCAAACACCUGCACAGUUGUUGGAACACGUGGCUAUAUGUCUCCAGAAUAUAUCAUGGAAGGCAUUUUCUCCACUAAAUCUGAUGUUUAUAGUUUUGGAGUCCUACUAUUGGAAAUUGUCUGCGGUAGAAAGAAUCAGAACGUUUAUGACCAUGAUCGUCCGCUUAAUCUCGUAGGCUAUGUAUGGGAGCAAUGGCAAGGCAAUGCAUUAGAAAUAGUGGAGCCAACAUUAACAAAUUCAGCUCCUAAAGAUGAAGUUUUGAAAUGCAUCAACGUGGGGUUGCUAUGUGUAGAACAGAGUCCAAUGAAUAGGCCAACCAUGUCAGAUGUUUUAUCUAUGUUAACAAGCGAGGUUCAAGAGCUGCCAUUGCCAAAACAGCCAGCAUUUUAUAUGGGAAGCAGCACUGUAACAGCAAAUUCAAUUAAAAAUCAGAUGGAAAGUUAUACAGUAAAUGGGAUGUCCCUAUCAGAUAUGGAUGGGAGAUGAGGGCAUGACUACUUUGAGCAUGUAUGAAUUAUCUGCAGAUGUUGGUGAAAUAUGCAAAUGGAUGUUAUGAAGUCCUGCAAAUAGUUGCUGGGUUUUGUUUAGGUUCCGCAAUAUGUUAAAUGAAGGCAAGACGAGCUACCCCCAACUCAUCAUGGAGGCUGGUUUUCUUGUGUGUUUAUUCUUCCCCUGGCCUGGGGAACUUUCUCAGCUGCCAGAUGAGUGAAAGACUGAACAUAAGAAUUAUGGCAUCCAUGGCAGGUAGUGUUUGUGACCCCAAACAAUGAUGAACUUUAUACAGUUAUAUCCUUUAUAAAUUGGGUAGAGAAAGAAACAUUAGAACUA
Molecule: unclassified non-coding RNA, 2998 nt
Filed under: Hevea brasiliensis (rubber tree)
Lineage: Eukaryota; Viridiplantae; Streptophyta; Magnoliopsida; Malpighiales; Euphorbiaceae
Source: RNAcentral